GUUUAAGCCGAACUUGCUGAAAAUUGGCCAAGUGUUAAGGAAGGCUGAGUCAAGUGCGGAACUUGACUGCCUCGCGGGUGUGACUUUUGACUGACCAAAAACGCCCCCGUGACACCUACCAUGGUUGUGACGGGUGACGGAGUAUUAGGGUUCGAUUCCGGAGAGGGAGCCUGAGAAACGGCUACCACAUAUAAGGAAGGCA
RNAcentral lists this ribosomal RNA (202 nucleotides) under Nicotiana attenuata. RNAcentral describes it as "rRNA SSU_rRNA_eukarya". It matches the Rfam family "Eukaryotic small subunit ribosomal RNA", at positions 230 to 427 of the family's 1831-position model. The record is from RNAcentral. Lineage: Eukaryota; Viridiplantae; Streptophyta; Magnoliopsida; Solanales; Solanaceae.